This is a long non-coding RNA of Dicentrarchus labrax (European seabass), 892 nucleotides long. RefSeq lists it as uncharacterized. The record is from RefSeq and is a predicted model, not a curated record. NCBI's taxonomy places the organism in Eukaryota, Metazoa, Chordata, Actinopteri, Moronidae. The transcript is spliced from 2 exons.
AUUCCUAUAGAGAUAUUUCAGUCUGGACAACUUUUGUUUUGUUUCUGUUGCUUGAUAAAUAGAGUUGCUUGAUAAAUCCACUCAUAAACUGUUCUGUUUUUCCCCUUAUUUAUUACAUCCACUGCAGUUCUAAGGCAACUUCCAGGUAGUAAAAGUGGAAAUAUCAGAAUUUAUGAGAUGAUGCAGACCCCCAGAGUGCAUGAUCAUUUUUGUUUCUGUAAGGCAAGGGAUACGAGGAGGCGUGGGUUAAAGUUUCAGGAGGCCCCACGUCUACCUUGAAACUUCCUAUGUUUAGUCGCGUAAUCACCUUUUUUCUUUCAUUACGGUUGUGUUUUUGAGUUUCCAUCACUAAUUUACAAUAUGAAUUUCUUACACAUGUCUUAUGAGAACUUGAAUUAUACAAAAGGAACAUUUCUAACCAGCAUAUCUUCUGUUUCCCUCCCCCCUUCUGUCCUAUCUUCUUCCUCCUCCUCAAACCUCCCCUUCUCCAGGGAUGAGGUCACCAUGUCAGGAAAGAUGGCGUGAUUAUGAGUCCACAAUUUUCUUAGCUGGUCAGAUGAGGACAGCACACAGACAGCAGGAGGAGAGGGGGGACAGCUCAGCCUCUUGUAGCUGCGGUGCAAAAUGCAAGAUGCAGCCAGACAGUAGCGACAGCCAGCAGAGGAACCUCCACUGGAGAGAAACGGGAGGAAAUGAGAGAAGGUAGUGGAAGACAGAGUGACAACAGUGAGCAGAAAGCUCCUUUAUCAGCAGGUGAGAGUCUCCUUCAUCUUGACACCUUGGAUCCAGUAUUCCCUUUUUCUAUGUUCAAGUGAGAGGACCACAAAAUAAUUUGCAUUGAUGACUACGUCUCGUAUUGUGUAUUUCAUAACGAAUAAAAUAAUAAGACACA